UGACCGCUGGCGGCGUGCCUACUACAUGCAAGUCGAGCGAACAGACGAGGAGCUUGCUCCUCUGACGUUAGCGGCGGACGGGUGAGUAACACGUGGAUAACCUACCUAUAAGACUGGGAUAACUUCGGGAAACCGGAGCUAAUACCGGAUAACAUGUUGAACCGCAUGGUUUAACAGUGAAAGACGGUCUUGCUGUCACUUAUAGAUGGAUCCGCGCCGCAUUAGCUAGUUGGUAAGGUAACGGCUUACCAAGGCAACGAUGCGUAGCCGACCUGAGAGGGUGAUCGGCCACACUGGAACUGAGACACGGUCCAGACUCCUACGGGAGGCAGCAGUAGGGAAUCUUCCGCAAUGGGCGAAAGCCUGACGGAGCAACGCCGCGUGAGUGAAGAAGGUCUUCGGAUCGUAAAACUCUGUUAUUAGGGAAGAACAAAUGUGUAAGUAACUAUGCACGUCUUGACGGUACCUAAUCAGAAAGCCACGGCUAACUACGUG
This 495-nucleotide ribosomal RNA is filed under the name uncultured bacterium. Its description in RNAcentral is "partial 16S ribosomal RNA". It matches the Rfam family "Bacterial small subunit ribosomal RNA", at positions 30 to 507 of the family's 1533-position model. The record is from RNAcentral.